CCAGACUCCUACGGGAGGCAGCAGUGGGGAAUAUUGCACAAUGGGGGAAACCCUGAUGCAGCAACGCCGCGUGAGUGAGGAAGUAUUUCGGUAUGUAAAGCUCUAUCAGCAGGGAAUAGAAAAGAAGGUACCUGAAAAAGAAGCCCCGGCUAACUACGUGCCAGCAGCCGCGGUAAUACGUAGGGGGCGAGCGUUAUCCGGAUUCACUGGGUGUAAAGGAGGCGCAGACGGCGAUGCAAGCCAGGAGUGAAAGCCCGGGGCGCAACCCCGGGGCUGCGCUUGGAACUGCGUGGCUGGAGUGCAGGAGGGGCAGGCGGAAUUCCUGGUGUAGCGGUGAAAUGCGUAGAUAUCAGGAGGAACACCGGUGGCGAAGGCGGCCUGCUGGACUGCAACUGACGUUGAGGCCCGAAAGCGUGGGGAGCAAACAGGAUUAGAUACCCGAGUAUC
RNAcentral lists this ribosomal RNA (447 nucleotides) under uncultured bacterium. RNAcentral's name for it is "partial 16S ribosomal RNA". It matches the Rfam family "Bacterial small subunit ribosomal RNA", at positions 331 to 794 of the family's 1533-position model. The record is from RNAcentral.